This 448-nucleotide ribosomal RNA is filed under the name uncultured bacterium. RNAcentral describes it as "SSU rRNA". It matches the Rfam family "Bacterial small subunit ribosomal RNA", at positions 26 to 518 of the family's 1533-position model. The record is from RNAcentral.
AGAGCGAACGCUGGCGGCAGGCCUAACACAUGCAAGUCGAGCGCGUGUAGCAAUACACGAGCGGCAGACGGGAGAGUAACACGUGGGAACGCGCCCUUUGGUUCGGAAUAACUCAGGGAAACUUGAGCUAAUACCGGAUAAGCCCUUACGGGGAAAGAUUUAUCGCCAAAGGAACGGCCCGCGUCCGAUUAGCUAGUUGGUGAGGUAACGGCUCACCAAGGCGACGAUCGGUAGCUGGUCUAAGAGGAUGAUCAGCCUCACUGGGACUGAGACACGGCCCAGACUCCUACGGGAGGCAGCAGUGGGGAAUAUUGGACAAUGGGCGCAAGCCUGAUCCAGCCAUGCCGCGUGGAUGAUGAAGGCCUUAGGGUUGUAAAGUCCUUUUAACGGGGAAGAUAAUGACGGUACCCGUAGAAUAAGCCCCGGCUAACUUCGCGCCAGCAGCCGC